UACGUAGGUGGCAAGCGUUGUCCGGAAUUAUUGGGCGUAAAGCGUGCGUAGGCGGUUUGUUAAGUCUGCUGUGAAAUCCCCGGGCUCAACCUGGGAAUGGCAGUGGAUACUGGCAAGCUAGAGUGUGUCAGAGGAUGGUGGAAUUCCCGGUGUAGCGGUGAAAUGCGUAGAGAUCGGGAGGAACAUCAGUGGCGAAGGCGGCCAUCUGGGACAACACUGACGCUGAGGCACGAAAGCGUGGGGAGCAAACAGG
Molecule: ribosomal RNA, 253 nt
Filed under: uncultured bacterium
Lineage: Bacteria
Description: partial 16S ribosomal RNA
Rfam family: Bacterial small subunit ribosomal RNA
Source: RNAcentral